AUUGAACGCUGGCGGCAUGCCUUACACAUGCAAGUCGAACGGUAACGCGGGGGCAACCCUGGCGACGAGUGGCGAACGGGUGAGUAAUACAUCGGAACGUACCCAGUAGUGGGGGAUAGCUCGGCGAAAGCCGGAUUAAUACCGCAUACGACCUAUGGGUGAAAGCGGGGGAUCGCAAGACCUCGCGCUAUUGGAGCGGCCGAUGUCGGAUUAGCUAGUUGGUGAGGUAAAAGCNCACCAAGGCUACGAUCCGUAGCUGGUCUGAGAGGACGACCAGCCACACUGGGACUGAGACACGGCCCAGACUCCUACGGGAGGCAGCAGUGGGGAAUUUUGGACAAUGGGCGAAAGCCUGAUCCAGCCAUGCCGCGUGUGUGAAGAAGGCCCUCGGGUUGUAAAGCACUUUUGUCCGGAACG
Molecule: ribosomal RNA, 417 nt
Filed under: uncultured bacterium
Lineage: Bacteria
Description: bacterial SSU rRNA
Rfam family: Bacterial small subunit ribosomal RNA
Source: RNAcentral